Molecule: ribosomal RNA, 484 nt
Filed under: uncultured bacterium
Lineage: Bacteria
Description: partial 16S ribosomal RNA
Rfam family: Bacterial small subunit ribosomal RNA
Source: RNAcentral
AUUGAACGCCGGCGGCAGGCCUAACACAUGCAAGUCGAGCGGAUGAAGGGAGCUUGCUCCUGGAUUCAGCGGCGGACGGGUGAGUAAUGCCUAGGAAUCUGCCUGGUAGUGGGGGAUAACGUCCGGAAACGGGCGCUAAUACCGCAUACGUCCUGAGGGAGAAAGUGGGGGAUCUUCGGACCUCACGCUAUCAGAUGAGCCUAGGUCGGAUUAGCUAGUUGGUGGGGUAAAGGCCUACCAAGGCGACGAUCCGUAACUGGUCUGAGAGGAUGAUCAGUCACACUGGAACUGAGACACGGUCCAGACUCCUACGGGAGGCAGCAGUGGGGAAUAUUGGACAAUGGGCGAAAGCCUGAUCCAGCCGUGCCGCGUGUGUGAAGAAGGUCUUCGGAUUGUAAAGCACUUUAAGUUGGGAGGAAGGGCAGUAAGUUAAUACCUUGCUGUUUUGACGUUACCAACAGAAUAAGCACCGGCUAACUUCGUG